RNAcentral lists this ribosomal RNA (497 nucleotides) under uncultured bacterium. RNAcentral describes it as "partial 16S ribosomal RNA". It matches the Rfam family "Bacterial small subunit ribosomal RNA", at positions 28 to 507 of the family's 1533-position model. The record is from RNAcentral.
GAUGAACGCUGGCGGCGUGCCUAAUACAUGCAAGUCGAGCGAACGGACGAGAAGCUUGCUUCUCUGAUGUUAGCGGCGGACGGGUGAGUAACACGUGGAUAACCUACCUAUAAGACUGGGAUAACUUCGGGAAACCGGAGCUAAUACCGGAUAAUAUUUUGAACCGCAUGGUUCAAAAGUGAAAGACGGUCUUGCUGUCACUUAUAGAUGGAUCCGCGCUGCAUUAGCUAGUUGGUAAGGUAACGGCUUACCAAGGCAACGAUGCAUAGCCGACCUGAGAGGGUGAUCGGCCACACUGGAGCUGAGACACGGUCCAGACUCCUACGGGAGGCAGCAGUAGGGAAUCUUCCGCAAUGGGCGAAAGCCUGACGGAGCAACGCCGCGUGAGUGAUGAAGGUCUUCGGAUCGUAAAACUCUGUUAUUAGGGAAGAACAUAUGUGUAAGUAACUGUGCACAUCUUGACGGUGCCUAAUCAGAAAGCCACGGCUAACUACGUG